GCAUGUUUAGAGUAGCAAUUGAAGCUUAGGAUCUUCUAUGCCCGGUGAUACUUCAUGCAGUAAACUAAAAUCUGAACUUGACUUUCUGGAUCCACUAAACCUGCUGAAAGACAUUGACGUAGAUGGAUCUGCACAUAUCUUGCCUCAUGAGAAUAUCGGACAUUUAAUUGCUAGCUCCAUCAGGUUCUAAUUUAAUGCAAAUUCUGAAACUGAAUUUUACAUUUAGUUGUCGGAUAAUUCAAGGUCAACAUAUGAAUUUGUAGGUUCAGAACUGCUCUCUUCAUUUCUUUGUAACUACUUGAUACAUUUUUCUACUUUAUGGCUUUAUCUGGACUGGACUUCAAGGCUGUGCUUUCAAGUGGUAUCUGAUUUAUCUUUUUGCUGUGACAUAAUUUUUUAUAAUGCAGACCCCAGGUUCGCCUGUAGCAGGGGGAAGUUCUGGAGGCAGAAAAGCUAGUAAGCGGAUCGUACUUGUCUGCCAUGGAGUGUCAGAGAGUGACCUAGAGGUAUGCAGUAAGCAAUGGACCAAUCAUUCUAUAUUCCCAAUGAACAGACAUAUUAGGCUUCUUGAUUUCAAAUUUAUGAUAUAACAAGGUGGUCUAUGACCCUGAAAUAGUGGUUUCUUGGAGAAAAAGUUUAUGUGAGAACAGAGUUGAAAGCAUGGAUCUUCUCUGAAAAGAGCCCUUUUGAUCCUUAUGGAAGUAUGAUUGUCCAAACCGCUUGCAAUAAUUUCUGGUCGAAGACUAGUUUGAGUGACAGAUACAUAUAAUCAAAGAAAAAAAAGAAUUGAGUGACACAUACAUUCGGUGCUAGGAUUUUGGUCUUCAGCUAAUAGAAGAACCUAUCUAUCUAUUUUAUCACUCUCUCAUGAGAUCAUUCUCGAAUGUACCACACUUAUAGACAGAACCAAUGGAUGAACAGGUGAAUUAAUAGGAAGAAAGGCUAUAUAUGAACCAUUCCAGUGACUCUAACUUGAGAUCAUAUUCCUUUUCUAGAGGUGGAGAAUGUACUUGCCAAGUUUGAAAAUGCUAAAGACAAUUUCUUCCACCUUUGCAAUGGCUUGAGCAAUUUCUGUUCACAAUUUUUGGCUCAAAAUGCUUGACUUUAGAUUUCUCUCUUAUUCCCUCAAAUCAAACAGCUUCCACUUUUUAACUUCUUGAAACUUAGUUAUCUUAAAAGUACUUCCAGGAUUACAAAUGACUUUACUUUUUAGCUUAUGAUAAGACUUUACAUCAGCAGAUCAUAUUUCUGCUUGAGGACUCCAAAAUAUGUUUAAACGAAAUUCUAUCUUAACCGAUUUAACAGAUUAGUUUUGAACCUUGACAUAAACAAACAGAAGGGAUAUAGGAUGUCAGAGGUCACUUUGCACAGAUUAAGUAAAAGAAAAAGGAAAAAAACAGCCUUGUGUUAAUUGGAUGAUCUUGAUGUGGGCAAUACUGCUUUUAGAUUAUUACCCUCAGUGACAUAGGAAAUUGAGAACGGGGCUUAAGCACCCUAUGAAUGUUUCUUACCUGGCAAACAUUGCUUUGCACUCGUAGAUUAGGUAUGGUGUUGGGGGAGUACUCAGGGUUGUUUGUCAUCUACUAUAUAAAUUCUGAUUUGUCCUUUCCUUAACUUUCAGGUUUUUAGCCCCAAUUUCUUUUAGCAUGUUGGCA
This 1655-nucleotide long non-coding RNA is filed under the name Nicotiana benthamiana. RNAcentral describes it as "long non-coding RNA (NBEN_LNC002755)". The record is from RNAcentral. Lineage: Eukaryota; Viridiplantae; Streptophyta; Magnoliopsida; Solanales; Solanaceae.